RNAcentral lists this ribosomal RNA (234 nucleotides) under uncultured bacterium. RNAcentral's name for it is "partial 16S ribosomal RNA". It matches the Rfam family "Bacterial small subunit ribosomal RNA", at positions 524 to 757 of the family's 1533-position model. The record is from RNAcentral.
CACGUAGGGCGCAAGCGUUGUCCGGAAUUAUUGGGCGUAAAGAGCUCGUAGGCGGUCUGUUGCGUCCGCUGUGAAAACUCGGGGCUUAACCCCGAGCCUGCAGUGGAUACGGGCAGACUAGAGGUAGGUAGGGGAGAAUGGAAUUCCUGGUGUAGCGGUGAAAUGCGUAGAUAUGCGGAGGAACACCGAUGGCGAAGGCAAUCCCCUGGACCUGUACUGACGCUCAUGCACGAA